AGAGUUUGAUCAUGGCUCAGGACGAACGCUGGCGGCACGCUUAACACAUGCAAGUCGAACGAGAGAAGAGGAGCUUGCUUUUCUGAUCUAGUGGCGGACGGGUGAGUAACACGUGAGCAAUCUGCCUUUCAGAGGGGGAUACCGAUUGGAAACGAUCGUUAAUACCGCAUAACAUAAUUGAACCGCAUGAUUUGAAUAUCAAAGAUUUAUCGCUGAAAGAUGAGCUCGCGUCUGAUUAGCUAGUUGGUAAGGUAACGGCUUACCAAGGCGACGAUCAGUAGCCGGACUGAGAGGUUGAUCGGCCACAUUGGGACUGAGACACGGCCCAGACUCCUACGGGAGGCAGCAGUGGGGAAUAUUGCACAAUGGAGGAAACUCUGAUGCAGCGAUGCCGCGUGAGGGAAGAAGGUUUUAGGAUUGUAAACCUCUGUCUUCAGGGACGAAAAAAGACGGUACCUGAGGAGGAAGCUCCGGCUAACUACGUGCCAGCAGCCGCGGUAAUACGUAGGGAGCGAGCGUUGUCCGGAAUUACUGGGUGUAAAGGGAGCGUAGGCGGGAUCGCAAGUCAGAUGUGAAAACUAUGGGCUUAACCCAUAAACUGCAUUUGAAACUGUGGUUCUUGAGUGAAGUAGAGGUAAGCGGAAUUCCUAGUGUAGCGGUGAAAUGCGUAGAUAUUAGGAGGAACAUCAGUGGCGAAGGCGGCUUACUGGGCUUUAACUGACGCUGAGGCUCGAAAGCGUGGGGAGCAAACAGGAUUAGAUACCCUGGUAGUCCACGCCGUAAACGAUGAUUACUAGGUGUGGGGGGACUGACCCCUUCCGUGCCGCAGCAAACGCAAUAAGUAAUCCACCUGGGGAGUACGACCGCAAGGUUGAGACUCAAAGGAAUUGACGGGGGCCCGCACAAGCAGUGGAGUAUGUGGAUUAAUUCGAAGCAACGCGAAGAACCUUACCAGGUCUUGACAUCGUAUGCAUAGCUCAGAGAUGAGUGAAAUCUCUUCGGAGACAUAUAGACAGGUGGUGCAUGGUUGUCGUCAGCUCGUGUCGUGAGAUGUUGGGUUAAGUCCCGCAACGAGCGCAACCCUUACUGUUAGUUGCUACGCAAGAGCACUCUAGCAGGACUGCCGUCGACAAAACGGAGGAAGGUGGGGAUGACGUCAAAUCAUCAUGCCCCUUAUGACCUGGGCCUCACACGUACUACAAUGGCUGUCAACAGAGGGAAGCAAAGCCGCGAGGUGGAGCGAACCCCUAAAAGCAGUCUUAGUUCGGAUUGUAGGCUGCAACCCGCCUACAUGAAGUCGGAAUUGCUAGUAAUCGCAGAUCAGCAUGCUGCGGUGAAUACGUUCCCGGGCCUUGUACACACCGCCCGUCACGCCAUGGGAGUCGGUAACACCCGAAGCCUGUAGUCUAACCGCAAGGAGGACGCAGUCGAAGGUGGGAUUGGUGACUGGGGUGAAGUCGUAACAAGGUA
Molecule: ribosomal RNA, 1470 nt
Filed under: metagenome
Description: bacterial SSU rRNA
Rfam family: Bacterial small subunit ribosomal RNA
Source: RNAcentral